UACGUAGGGGGCAAGCGUUGUCCGGAAUCAUUGGGCGUAAAGAGCGCGUAGGCGGUCCGGUAAGUCCGCUCUGAAAGCCCGGGGCUCAACCCCGGGAGGCGGGCGGAUACUGUCGGGCUAGAGUCCGGAAGAGGCGAGUGGAAUUCCUGGUGUAGCGGUGAAAUGCGCAGAUAUCAGGAGGAACACCGAUGGCGAAGGCAGGUCUCUGGGCAUUAACUGACGCUGAGGAGCGAAAGCAUGGGGAGCGAACAGG
This 253-nucleotide ribosomal RNA is filed under the name uncultured bacterium. RNAcentral describes it as "partial 16S ribosomal RNA". It matches the Rfam family "Bacterial small subunit ribosomal RNA", at positions 524 to 776 of the family's 1533-position model. The record is from RNAcentral.